UGAGCAAUCUGCCCUUCUCAUCGGAAUAAGCGUUGGAAACGACGUCUAGUGCCGAAUACGACCUCCUUUCGCAUGAUCGGAGGUGGAAAGCUCCGGCGGAGAAGGAUGAGCUCGCGGCCUAUCAGCUAGUUGGUGUGGGUAACGGCCCACCAAGGCGACGACGGGUAGCCGGCCUGAGAGGGUGACCGGCCACACUGGGACUGAGACACGGCCAGACUCCUACGGGAGGCAGCG
Molecule: ribosomal RNA, 234 nt
Filed under: uncultured bacterium
Lineage: Bacteria
Description: partial 16S ribosomal RNA
Rfam family: Bacterial small subunit ribosomal RNA
Source: RNAcentral